Molecule: ribosomal RNA, 460 nt
Filed under: uncultured bacterium
Lineage: Bacteria
Description: partial 16S ribosomal RNA
Rfam family: Bacterial small subunit ribosomal RNA
Source: RNAcentral
CCUACGGGAGGCAGCAGUGAGGAAUAUUGGUCAAUGGGCGUAAGCCUGAACCAGCCAAGUCGCGUGAGUGAUGAAGGUUCUAUGGAUCGUAAACCUCUUUUAUCAGGGAAUAAAGUGUGGGACGUGUCCUAUUUUGUAUGUACCUUAUGAAUAAGGAUCGGCUAACUCCGUGCCAGCAGCCGCGGUAAUACGGAGGAUCCGAGCGUUAUCCGGAUUUAUUGGGUUUAAAGGGUGCGUAGGCGGCCUUUUAAGUCAGCGGUGAAAUUCUGUGGCUCAACCAUAGAAUUGCCGUUGAAACUGGGGGGCUAGAGUAUGAUUGAGGCAGGCGGAAUGCGUGGUGUAGCGGUGAAAUGCUUAGAUAUCACGCAGAACCCCGAUUGCGAAGGCAGCCUGCCAAGCCAUGACUGACGCUGAUGCACGAAAGCGUGGGGAUCAAACAGGAUUAGAUACCCCAGUAGUC